Molecule: ribosomal RNA, 506 nt
Filed under: uncultured bacterium
Lineage: Bacteria
Description: partial 16S ribosomal RNA
Rfam family: Bacterial small subunit ribosomal RNA
Source: RNAcentral
AGUGAACGCUGGCGGUUGGCCUAACACAUGCAAGUCGAACGGCAGCACAGAGGAGCUUGCUCCUUGGGUGGCGAGUGGCGGACGGGUGAGGAAUACAUCGGAAUCUACUCUGUCGUGGGGGAUAACGUAGGGAAACUUACGCUAAUACCGCAUACGACCUACGGGUGAAAGCAGGGGAUCUUCGGACCUUGCGCGAUUGAAUGAGCCGAUGUCGGAUUAGCUGGUUGGCGGGGUAAAGGCCCACCAAGGCGACGAUCCGUAGCUGGUUUGAGAGGAUGAUCAGCCACACUGGAACUGAGACACGGUCCAGACUCCUACGGGAGGCAGCAGUGGGGAAUAUUGGACAAUGGGCGCAAGCCUGAUCCAGCCAUACCGCGUGGGUGAAGAAGGCCUUCGGGUUGUAAAGCCCUUUUGUUGGGAAAGAACUCCAUCUGGUUAAUACCCGGGUGGGAUGACGGUACCCAAAGAAUAAGCACCGGCUAACUUCGUGCCAGCCGCCGCCGUAA